AAUUCUCAAACCUCCUAGUCUUUAUUGACGACGAGGCUUUGGAUGUGGGAGUUGCUGGCUUUGACGAGUCAGCUCUCCUUAAAUACAUUAGUGGUUACUGUUCAUCCACUUCCUGGUGUGAUAAUUAUCUACGCCUAGUGGUGAUGUUAAGUGUAGCUGCUCUCUAACCGUCCAUUCUAUGUGGACAACUUGAACC
This 196-nucleotide unclassified non-coding RNA is filed under the name Phloeomana hiemalis. RNAcentral describes it as "partial internal transcribed spacer 2". Lineage: Eukaryota; Fungi; Basidiomycota; Agaricomycetes; Agaricales; Porotheleaceae. RNAcentral also lists the same sequence under 1 other name. The record is from RNAcentral.